This 460-nucleotide ribosomal RNA is filed under the name uncultured bacterium. RNAcentral describes it as "partial 16S ribosomal RNA". It matches the Rfam family "Bacterial small subunit ribosomal RNA", at positions 338 to 795 of the family's 1533-position model. The record is from RNAcentral.
CCUACGGGAGGCAGCAGUGAGGAAUAUUGGUCAAUGGACGCAAGUCUGAACCAGCCAUUCCGCGUUCAGGCAGACGGCUCUAUGAGUUGUCAACUGCUUUUGUACGAGGGUAAACGCAGAUACGCGUAUCUGUCUGAAAGUAUCGUACGAAUAAGGAUCGGCUCACUCCUUGCCAGCAGCCGCGGUAAUACGGAGGAUUCAAUCGUUAUCCGGAUUUAUUGGGUUUAAAGGGUGCGUAGGCGGUCGGAUAAGUUAGCGGUGAAAUCCCGAGGCUCAACUUCGGAAUUGCCUCUGAUACUGUUCGGCUAGAGAGUAGUUGCGGUAGGCGGAAUGUAUGGUGUAGCGGUGAAAUGCUUAGAGAUCAUACAGAACACCGAUUGCGAAGGCAGCUUACCAAGCUACUUCUGACGUUGAGGCACGAAAGCGUGGGGAGCAAACAGGAUUAGAUACCCGGGUAGUC